AUUCCCCCAAAACAGGAAUUUUGACCUUGCUCUUGCCACCGCACCGCAUCGCCGUUAUUAUGUGAACCGACUUCAUGAUUCCCUCUCAUAAGGAGUUCAUGAUGAACCGACAAGAUAUGUGCUCACAUGGCUGGCUAGGUCAAGUGUAAUUCUUCUCACAAUUCCAUACGUCUUCUAUUUCCGUUAUUCAUUUUCAUUUUAUUUUCUAUAUGCUUAAGAGUUAGAUGUUCAGAUUAGGUAUUUUUAUUAUCAUAAUAAAUAUUUUAGGUGAAUUAGGCAAAUUUCAGAAUUUCAGGAUUUAUCUAUUCUUCAUGAUUAGUGUUUUUCUUUGACAAACAUUUCAGAAUUGCUUUUUGUUCUUCAUGUAUAUGCAAUGUGUAGUUUGCUCUUUCAUCCCAAAAUAGUGGUUCUCAAUGUGGUUCUCUGGUUUAAUUUUCUUCUACUGAUUUGCUUUAUCCUGGUUUAUUUCUAAUUUCUAAUACCAUUUUUGUCUAUGAUAUGUUCCUACAAGGCAGUAGCAGGGUGCUUCGGUGUGGUGUUUGAAUUUUGGUACAGUUGCUAUGCCCAUUACAAGUCAGCUUGUAUUGAGCUUCUGUUUGAUACAGUGGGGAGUUUGUGCCUACAUUUGUGUUGGUUAUCCCCUGCUCAUUGAUGCUCAUAAUGCUCUCCACAAGAAGGUAUGAAUUAUAUGGUAUAUGACAGUGACAGUGGCAUUCUUUGAUUUUAAAAUUUCGGUGAUGUAUUAUGGUUGAGAUUGAAUAUUAUUGUAUUUGGGUUUCCAAAUCUGAUGUUUCAUUUUUUCGUUUAUUAUGUUUGGUAUUAUCCCAAACCACUAGAAGUCAGAGCGAAUCAUUUGUGAUCUCUUUGAUAUAUACUAUUUGCUGCAUAGCUUACCA
RNAcentral lists this long non-coding RNA (896 nucleotides) under Trifolium pratense (red clover). RNAcentral's name for it is "long non-coding RNA (TPRA_LNC007984)". Lineage: Eukaryota; Viridiplantae; Streptophyta; Magnoliopsida; Fabales; Fabaceae. The record is from RNAcentral.